AAACUUUUCAGCUAGAGUUGAUAGAGGAAAGCAGAAUUUCUAGUGUAGAGGUGAAAUUCGUAGAUAUUAGAAAGAAUACCAAUUGCGAAGGCAGCUUUCUGGAUCAUUACUGACACUGAGGAACGAAAGCAUGGGUAGCGAAGAGGAUUAGAUACCCUCGUAGUCCAUGCCGUAAACGAUGUGUGUUAGACGUUGGAAAUUUAUUUUCUGUGUCGCAGCGAAAGCGAUAAACACACCGCCUGGGGAGUACGACCGCAAGGUUAAAACUCAAAUGAAUUGACGGGGACCCGCACAAGUAGUGGAGCAUGUGGUUUAAUUCGAAGAUACGCGCAGAACCUUACCAACACUUGACAUGUUCGUCGCGACUUUAAGAGAUUAAAGUUUUCGGUUCGGCCGGACGAAACACAGGUGCUGCAUGGCUGUCGUCAGCUCGUGUCGUGAGAUGUUGGGUUAAGUCCCGCAACGAGCGCAACCCUCACUUUUAGUUGCCAUCAUUUAGUUGGGCACUCUGAAAGAACUGCCAGUGAUAAGCUGGAGGAAGGUGGGGAUGACGUCAAGUCCUCAUGGCCCUUACGUGUUGGGCUACACACGUGCUACAAUGAUAUCUACAACAGGAAGCAAGACGGCGACGUUAAGCAAAUCCUUAAAAGAUAUCUCAGUUCGGAUUGCACUCUGCAACUCGAGUGCAUGAAGCUGGAAUUACUAGUAAUCGUGGAUCAGCGUGCCACGGUGAAUGCGUUCCCGGGUCUUGUACACACCGCCCGUCACACCAUGGGAGUUGGUUCUACCUUAAGGCAAGGUUUAAUACCCUUGACCACGGUAUAGUCAGCGACUGGGGUGAAGUCGUAACAAGGUAACCGUA
RNAcentral lists this ribosomal RNA (862 nucleotides) under uncultured bacterium. Its description in RNAcentral is "bacterial SSU rRNA". It matches the Rfam family "Bacterial small subunit ribosomal RNA", at positions 630 to 1504 of the family's 1533-position model. The record is from RNAcentral.